This 1163-nucleotide long non-coding RNA is filed under the name Stylophora pistillata. Its description in RNAcentral is "uncharacterized LOC111346054". Lineage: Eukaryota; Metazoa; Cnidaria; Anthozoa; Scleractinia; Pocilloporidae. The record is from RNAcentral.
CGAACGCUUUAAAACGUUUAGAUCAGAGAAGAACACAGCAAGACUCAGCUGCAACGCACAAAACUUUCGAGUAAAGGACGUUGUAGAGCGGAAUAGAACGUUGAAUUGAGCGGCAAGCCUGGAAACUUCACCUUAUUGGAUUAUACUUGGUCAUGUGUCGGUCAUGUGAAGAUUUUGCUCAUGAAAGACUGGGACUAGUGAUCGUGUGAUCCAUUCAGCGCCAUGGUCGCCAUCUUAUGAACGGUGAUCGAAGUAGCGAUAAAUGACUUUUAAAGUUAGUGUUAACGCCUGCUAGUAUGAACCAUGGAUGGGAAUGAACAUCAAAUUUACAAAUUAGUCAAACUUAACGGCCAAGAGAAGUAUGAAUGUACGGCUUGUAAACGUGUUCUCUCACGACAACAGACAAUGGAAAAUCACAUGCGCUCUGUGCAUCGUUACGUUGGACCGGGUCUGACCUGAAAGCAAAGAGUGUCACUGAAAUUUUGGAGAAGAUUAUGCUUCUAAAUGGCAAUUCCAGAAACCAUGUUAUAAUAAGAUUUCCAAACUUUAAUGCUGUCUGUGGUUAGAUAUAAGAAAAUAUCACUUUUUAAGUCUCAAUAUGCCAGAUUUGAAAUUUCCCAUCGCUUCAAAUAAGACUUCCUUGUUAUAAUAUUUAAGUAAAGAUAUGUUCUUAAGCUUUUUGUAUAAAAUAUUCUAAUCUGGCAAAUAAAUUGAUACUUGAUACUAUCUAUAUUGAACUUAAGUUUACUUUAAAUGGAAAGUAUGUAGAAUUCACCAUAUAAUUGGAAUAAAUCAGGAGACAGUGCAAAAUUAUGUUGGCUGAAUCUUACACAUUGUGAUAAACCAUUUUUCAGGGAUGCCUCAGGCUGAUAUAACUUUGUAUUUCAGUGUGGUCAGAGUCGCUGUCCUUGCAGUAUAGCAUUUUUUAUUAUCUGACUGGAGCACCAAACACAUGGAUUGAAAUCCCACUUGAAUUGCAUUUGAUUUAGUUUUCUGCUUGUAUUCUUUACUACAGUAAAUUUUUAUUUCAAUGUAUUGUGAUAUGCAAUUGAAGGAUAAAAAAUUAAUGUUUUAUUGGAAAUUGUAUAAACUUCAAGAAUAUCUGCUUUAAAAUUAAUGAGUUGUAAAUUAUAAUGCAAAAUAAAAAAAAUUUGUGGUAUAUU